This 433-nucleotide ribosomal RNA is filed under the name uncultured Anaerosporobacter sp. RNAcentral's name for it is "partial 16S ribosomal RNA". It matches the Rfam family "Bacterial small subunit ribosomal RNA", at positions 341 to 792 of the family's 1533-position model. Lineage: Bacteria; Bacillati; Bacillota; Clostridia; Lachnospirales; Lachnospiraceae. The record is from RNAcentral.
ACGGAAGGCAGCAGUAGGGAAUAUUGCACAAUGGGGGAAACCCUGAUGCAGCGACGCCGCGUGAGUGAUGAAGUAUUUCGGUACGUAAAACUCUAUCAGCAGGGAAGAUAAUGACGGUACCUGACUAAGAAGCCCCGGCUAACUACGUGCCAGCAGCCGCGGUAAUACGUAGGGGGCAAGCGUUAUCCGGAUUUACUGGGUGUAAAGGGAGUGUAGGUGGCCUGGCAAGCCAGAUGUGAAAGCCCGCAGCUCAACUGCGGGACUGCAUUGGAACUGUUAGGCUUGAGUGCAGGAGAGGAAAGUGGAAUUCCUAGUGUAGCGGUGAAAUGCGUAGAUAUUAGGAGGAACACCAGUGGCGAAGGCGGCUUUCUGGACUGUAACUGACACUGAGGCUCGAAAGCGUGGGGAGCAGACAGGAUUAGAUACCCUGGUA